UCCUUAUGUUUGAACUGUCAGUCGGAGCGUGACAGCUGCAGUAAGUUCUCUUUUGCAGUAACGUCACCUUGACUGUUGUCUUCUCUCAAGUUGUCUUCCUGAAGACACAGGUUGUUCAGUACUACACCAGGAUCUUCAUGCUGCUCUAUAGAGAACAUUCAGUCAAUUAAAUGCAUCAGAACCAAG
Molecule: long non-coding RNA, 186 nt
Organism: Pezoporus flaviventris
Lineage: Eukaryota; Metazoa; Chordata; Aves; Psittaciformes; Psittacidae
Exons: 2
Source: RefSeq, a predicted model, not a curated record